GGACUACUAGGGUUUCUAAUCCUGUUUGCUCCCCACGCUUUCGUGCCUCAGUGUCAGUAUUAGGCCAGGUAGACGCCUUCGCCACUGGUGUUCCUUCCGAUCUCUACGCAUUUCACCGCUACACCGGAAAUUCCACUACCCUCUCCCAUACUCCAGUCAAUCAGUAUCAUCUGACAGGCCCAGGUUAAGCCCAGGUAUUUCACAGAUAACUUAAUCAACAACCUACGCACCCUUUACGCCCAGUAAUUCCGAUUAACGCUCGCACCCUCCGUAUUACCGCGGCGGCUGGCAC
Molecule: ribosomal RNA, 292 nt
Filed under: uncultured bacterium
Lineage: Bacteria
Also listed under: 1 other name
Description: partial 16S ribosomal RNA
Source: RNAcentral